RNAcentral lists this transfer RNA (78 nucleotides) under Brachionus calyciflorus. Its description in RNAcentral is "tRNA-Leu". Lineage: Eukaryota; Metazoa; Rotifera; Eurotatoria; Ploima; Brachionidae. The record is from RNAcentral.
UAAGUCCACUAUAGAAUCCAUCGCUAAUGGCGCUUUAGAUUAGUACUAAGUAUGAUAGGUAAUACCUAUGACUUAAUG